CCACCAAUCCUUUGUAAUAUUAUUAUACUCUCUUUUUUUUUUUUGGUCUCGCUAAAACGAACGAAUCAGUGUCGGCUCUUGGGUUCCGGAAAAAAAAAAAAAACUCAGAGAACUGAAACCAAAAAAGAACAUUGUACGUCGGAUCCAAAACGCGUAUCAUACAAACGCUUUACUACUCUGUGAACGCUUCCCCUUCUCUUCAUUGCUCGGAAAUCGCGUCUUAAGGCAAUGUGCUGAAACUGAGUCAGGGUCCGAGUUGGCGAAGUGUAACUUGGCGGUUUAGACUAAUCUCAGGUUGGGUUUUGUGAGAAACCGCGUUUCCAAAAUGUUCAACUUCUUCAAGUGGGUGUUUCUGUUGGUAUGUUCAUUAGUAAUUUUGGAAACAGAGGCACUGUAUGUCAAUAUUACAUUUGUUCGAAACGCAGUUGCAAAAGGGGCCGUUUGUUUAGAUGGUAGUCCACCAGCUUAUCAUUUAGACAGAGGUUUUGGAACUGGAAUCAACAGUUGGUUGAUACAGCUUGAGGGAGGAGGAUGGUGCAAUAAUGUCACAAACUGCGUUAGUAGGAUGCAUACUCGAUUGGGUUCAUCUAAGAGAAUGGUGGAGAAACUUGCUUUCUCAGCUAUUCUUAGCAAUAAGAGACAAUAUAAUCCUGAUUUUUACAAUUGGAAUAGAGUAAAAGUUAGAUACUGCGACGGGUCAUCAUUCACAGGAGAUGUACAGGCAGUGAAUCCUGCUACUAAUCUUCACUUCAGAGGUGCUCGUGUUUGGCUAGCUGUUAUGCAGGAGCUGCUUGCUAAAGGCAUGAUAAACGCCGAGAAUGCUGUUUUGUCUGGGUGUUCUGCUGGCGGGUUAGCUACUCUGAUGCAUUGUGACAGUUUCCGUGCUCUGUUACCGAUGGGUGCCAAAGUAAAAUGUCUUUCAGAUGCUGGUUUUUUUCUCAAUACAAGAGAUGUCGCAGGAGCUCAAUACAUUAAAUCAUACUUCAACGAUGUGGUUACUCUACACGGAUCAGCUAAGAAUUUGCCGAGGUCAUGCACAUCAAGAUUGACCCCUGCAAUGUGUUUCUUCCCACAAUACGUGGCUCGCCAGAUUAGAACUCCUCUUUUCAUUCUUAAUGCCGCAUACGACUCUUGGCAGAUAAAGAACAUUUUGGCUCCGCGUGCUGCUGAUCCUUACGGAAAAUGGCAAAGUUGUCAACUUGACAUCAAGAACUGCCAACCAAACCAGCUCAAAGUUAUGCAAGAUUAGAGUUCUUGAGAGCGGUGAUAGGUUUAGGGAGAUCUUCAUCAAGAGGGAUGUUCAUAGAUUCUUGCUACACUCACUGCCAAACCGAGACACAAACUUCAUGGUUCUGGCAAGAUUCUCCAAUUCUAAACCGCACGACAAUAGCAAAAGCUGUUGGAGAUUGGGUUUAUGACAGAACAUUGUUUCAGAAGAUAGAUUGUCCUUACCCUUGUAACCCUACUUGCCACCACAAGGUUUUCACUCCUCAAGAUGCUCCCCCAAUUUAAGAGAUUCUACCAUAUACAUAUACAGAUUUAUUAUUUUUUAAAGAAAAAAUUGCUUAUAAAUGAUUCAUUUGUCACAUAUAGUGAGAAGUUCUUAGGGUUUUAGGUAUAGAAGAAAAAAGAGAAAAAGAGUGUGAUUGAUUCUUGAGUGUUGAGGGUAAGCAAAACGAGCAAUUUUCUUCAGCAUUUAUCUUGUUUGCUGAUUAGUUGCUCUGUUUCUCUUCCAUUCUUAUGUAAAAUGCGACAUUGUUACUUUUUAUUCUUAUAAAUAAAGUGUUAGUU
Eutrema salsugineum is the source of this 1791-nucleotide RNA transcript. It is a transcript of the gene named pectin acetylesterase 8, with no coding region annotated. Lineage: Eukaryota; Viridiplantae; Streptophyta; Magnoliopsida; Brassicales; Brassicaceae. The record is from RefSeq and is a predicted model, not a curated record. The transcript is spliced from 13 exons.